GCAACAAAUUUGCAAGUCGUAGGGUGUCAAACCUGAAGGCGCAAUGAAAGUGAAAAAAUACCACCCAGUAAAAUGGGACAGUAUUGCCCGGUCUUGCGGCUACCGUCAAAGGAUCUGAGGUAGAGCAAAUUUGCUGC
RNAcentral lists this non-coding RNA (137 nucleotides) under Allomyces macrogynus ATCC 38327. RNAcentral describes it as "Eukaryotic large subunit ribosomal RNA". It matches the Rfam family "Eukaryotic large subunit ribosomal RNA", at positions 675 to 812 of the family's 3401-position model. The record is from Rfam by way of RNAcentral. Lineage: Eukaryota; Fungi; Blastocladiomycota; Blastocladiomycetes; Blastocladiales; Blastocladiaceae.